CCACUGACAUGGUCACAUAGCCAUUGUUCUUGAAGUACUGGGGGAUGGUAGAGAAGUUUCCAGCGUGUACCCUCCAGUAGGAGUUGAAGUCGUACAGGCAGGCAGUGUCUGGUCUCCUGCUGGUGAGAAAGGACAUGUGGCUUGGGAGCACACUGCUUGCUGUUAGGGAACAGAAGCAGAGGGGUGAGUGACAGCUGCUGCUUCCCAAAUGCCACAUUUCUUCAAAUAAAAAGCAGAAGAUAGCAUGCAGUA
Saimiri boliviensis boliviensis (Bolivian squirrel monkey) is the source of this 252-nucleotide non-coding RNA. Lineage: Eukaryota; Metazoa; Chordata; Mammalia; Primates; Cebidae. The record is from RefSeq and is a predicted model, not a curated record.